Long non-coding RNA from Oncorhynchus mykiss (rainbow trout), 2196 nucleotides. NCBI's taxonomy places the organism in Eukaryota, Metazoa, Chordata, Actinopteri, Salmoniformes, Salmonidae. The record is from Ensembl.
AAACCGCUCUGCCCCAGUUCAUUUGACAACAAGAGAAUUUCUGUCCCCAGUCAAUUUGACAACAGAUUUGCUGGCCCCAGUUCAUUUGACAACAGGAUAUUUGCUGGCCCCAGUUCAUUUGACAACAACAGAUUUGCUGGCCCCAGUUCAUUUGACAACAACAUAUUUCCUGGUCCCAGUCAAUUUGACAACAACAGAUUUGCUGGCCCCAGUCAAUUUGACAACAACAGAUUUUCUGGCCCCAGUCAAUUUGAAAACAAGAGAAUUUCUGGUCCCAGUUCAUUUGACAACAACAGAUUUCCUGGUCCCAGUCAAUUUGACAACAACAGAUUUCCUGGUCCCAGUCAAUUUGACAACAACAGAUUUGCUGGCCCCAGUCAAUUUGACAACAACAGAUUUGCUGGUCCCAGUCAAUUUGACAACAGAUUUGCUGGCCCCAGUCAAUUUGACAACAGAUUUGCUGGUCCCAGUCAAUUUGACAACAACAGAUUUGCUGGUCCCAGUCAAUUUGACAACAGAUUUGCUGGUCCCAGUCAAUUUGACAACAACAGAUUUGCUGGCCCCAGUCAAUUUGACAACAACAGAUUUGCUGGUCCCAGUCAAUUUGACAACAGAUUUCCUGGUCCCAGUCAAUUUGACAACAACAGAUUUGCUGGCCCCAGUCAAUUUGACAACAACAGAUUUUCUGGCCCCAGUCAAUUUGAAAACAAGAGAAUUUCUGGUCCCAGUCAAUUUGACAACAGAUUUGCUGGUCCCAGUCAAUUUGACAACAACAGAUUUGCUGGUCCCAGUCAAUUUGACAACAUAUUUGCUGGUCCCAGUCAAUUUGACAACAACAGAUUUGCUGGUCCCAGUCAAUUUGACAACAACAGAUUUGCUGGUCCCAGUCAAUUUGACAACAUAUUUGCUGGUCCCAGUCAAUUUGACAACAACAGAUUUGCUGGUCCCAGUCAAUUUGACAACAUAUUUGCUGGCCCCAGUCAAUUUGACAACAGAUUUGCUGGUCCCAGUCAAUUUGACAACAGAUUUGCUGGUCCCAGUCAAUUUGACAACAGAUUUGCUGGCCCCAGUCAAUUUGACAACAACAGAUUUGCUGGUCCCAGUCAAUUUGACAACAACAGAUUUGCUGGCCCCAGUCAAUUUGACAACAACAGAUUUGCUGGUCCCAGUCAAUUUGACAACAACAGAUUUGCUGGCCCCAGUCAAUUUGACAACAACAUAUUUGCUGGUCCCAGUCAAUUUGACAACAACAGAUUUGCUGGUCCCAGUCAAUUUGACAACAACAGAUUUGCUGGUCCCAGUCAAUUUGACAACAUAUUUGCUGGUCCCAGUCAAUUUGACAACAACAGAUUUGCUGGUCCCAGUCAAUUUGACAACAUAUUUGCUGGCCCCAGUCAAUUUGACAACAGAUUUGCUGGUCCCAGUCAAUUUGACAACAGAUUUGCUGGCCCCAGUCAAUUUGACAACAGAUUUGCUGGUCCCAGUCAAUUUGACAACAGAUUUGCUGGUCCCAGUCAAUUUGACAACAGAUUUGCUGGUCCCAGUCAAUUUGACAACAGAUUUGCUGGCCCCAGUCAAUUUGACAACAACAGAUUUGCUGGUCCCAGUCAAUUUGACAACAACAGGUUUGCUGGUCCCAGUCAAUUUGACAACAACAGAUUUGCUGGUCCCAGUCAAUUUGACAACAGAUUUGCUGGCCCCAGUCAAUUUGACAACAGAUUUGCUGGCCCCAGUCAAUUUGACAACAGAUUUGCUGGUCCCAGUCAAUUUGACAACAACAGAUUUGCUGGCCCCAGUCAAUUUGACAACAGAUUUGCUGGUCCCAGUCAAUUUGACAACAGAUUUGCUGGUCCCAGUCAAUUUGACAACAACAGAUUUGCUGGCCCCAGUCAAUUUGACAACAUAUUUGCUGGUCCCAGUCAAUUUGACAACAGAUUUGCUGGUCCCAGUCAAUUUGACAACAGAUUUGCUGGUCCCAGUCAAUUUGACAACAGAUUUGCUGGCCCCAGUCAAUUUGACAAAAAGACGUGGUCUGUUGUUGAAUUGUUACCUUUGAAGGUACAGUCAACCUUUAAAGUUAUGAACAGUAUCUUACUUCCCAAAUGUUCUAACAUAAGAAGGUGCUAUCCUAAAGUGCUAUUAUCCAUUUCUGAGGACGGUAGACUGCUUCUAUCCAGCCCAUGUUGUAUAACCUAA